This 447-nucleotide ribosomal RNA is filed under the name uncultured bacterium. Its description in RNAcentral is "bacterial SSU rRNA". It matches the Rfam family "Bacterial small subunit ribosomal RNA", at positions 329 to 793 of the family's 1533-position model. The record is from RNAcentral.
UUCCAGACUCCUACGGGAGGCAGCAGUGGGGAAUAUUGCACAAUGGGGGAAACCCUGAUGCAGCGACGCCGCGUGAGUGAAGAAGUCUUUCGGUAUGUAAAGCUCUAUCAGCAGGGAAGAAAAUGACGGUACCUGAUUAAGAAGCCCCGGCUAACUACGUGCCAGCAGCCGCGGUAAUACGUAGGGGGCAAGCGUUAUCCGGAUUUACUGGGUGUAAAGGGAGCGUAGACGGCAGCGCAAGUCUGAAGUGAAAUGCCGGGGCUUGACCCCGGAACUGCUUUGGAAACUGUGCAGCUAGAGUGCAGGAGAGGUAAGUGGAAUUCCUAGUGUAGCGGUGAAAUGCGUAGAUAUUAGGAGGAACACCAGUGGCGAAGGCGGUCUGCUGGACAGCAACUGACGCUGAGGCGCGAAAGCGUGGGGAGCAAACAGGAUUAGAUACCCGCGUAA